AGGGGGACAACAGUUGGAAACGACUGCUAAUACCGCAUACGAUCUAAUCUCGGCAUCGAGGAUAGAUGAAAGGUGGCCUCUACAUGUAAGCUAUCACUGAAGGAGGGGAUUGCGUCUGAUCAGCUAGUUGGAGGGGUAACGGCCCACCAAGGCGAUGAUCAGUAGCCGGUCUGAGAGGAUGAACGGCCACAUUGGGACUGAGACACGGCCCAG
RNAcentral lists this ribosomal RNA (213 nucleotides) under uncultured bacterium. RNAcentral describes it as "partial 16S ribosomal RNA". It matches the Rfam family "Bacterial small subunit ribosomal RNA", at positions 137 to 334 of the family's 1533-position model. The record is from RNAcentral.